This 2257-nucleotide ribosomal RNA is filed under the name Salmonella enterica subsp. enterica serovar Enteritidis. Its description in RNAcentral is "partial 23S ribosomal RNA". It matches the Rfam family "Bacterial large subunit ribosomal RNA", at positions 580 to 2821 of the family's 2925-position model. Lineage: Bacteria; Pseudomonadati; Pseudomonadota; Gammaproteobacteria; Enterobacterales; Enterobacteriaceae. The record is from RNAcentral.
CAGGUUUACCUGUGUGACUGCGUACCUUUUGUAUAAUGGGUCAGCGACUUAUAUUCUGUAGCAAGGUUAACCGAAUAGGGGAGCCGGAGGGAAACCGAGUCUUAAUUGGGCGUUAAGUUGCAGGGUAUAGACCCGAAACCCGGUGAUCUAGCCAUGGGCAGGUUGAAGGUUGGGUAACACUAACUGGAGGACCGAACCGACUAAUGUUGAAAAAUUAGCGGAUGACCUGUGGCUGGGGGUGAAAGGCCAAUCAAACCGGGAGAUAGCUGGUUCUCCCCGAAAGCUAUUUAGGUAGCGCCUCGUGAAUUCAUCUCCGGGGGUAGAGCACUGUUUCGGCUAGGGGGCCAUCCCGGCUUACCAACCCGAUGCAAACUGCGAAUACCGGAGAAUGUUAUCACGGGAGACACACGGCGGGUGCUAACGUCCGUCGUGAAGAGGGAAACAACCCAGACCGCCAGCUAAGGUCCCAAAGUCAUGGUUAAGUGGGAAACGAUGUGGGAAGGCCCAGACAGCCAGGAUGUUGGCUUAGAAGCAGCCAUCAUUUAAAGAAAGCGUAAUAGCUCACUGGUCGAGUCGGCCUGCGCGGAAGAUGUAACGGGGCUAAACCAUGCACCGAAGCUGCGGCAGCGACACUGUGUGUUGUUGGGUAGGGGAGCGUUCUGUAAGCCUGUGAAGGUGUGUCGUGAGGCAUGCUGGAGGUAUCAGAAGUGCGAAUGCUGACAUAAGUAACGAUAAAGCGGGUGAAAAGCCCGCUCGCCGGAAGACCAAGGGUUCCUGUCCAACGUUAAUCGGGGCAGGGUGAGUCGACCCCUAAGGCGAGGCCGAAAGGCGUAGUCGAUGGGAAACGGGUUAAUAUUCCCGUACUUGGUGUUACUGCGAAGGGGGGACGGAGAAGGCUAUGUUGGCCGGGCGACGGUUGUCCCGGUUUAAGCGUGUAGGUGUGUGUUCCAGGUAAAUCCGGUUCACUUUAACACUGAGGCGUGACGACGAGGCACUACGGUGCUGAAGCAACAAAUGCCCUGCUUCCAGGAAAAGCCUCUAAGCAUCAGGUAACAUCAAAUCGUACCCCAAACCGACACAGGUGGUCAGGUAGAGAAUACCAAGGCGCUUGAGAGAACUCGGGUGAAGGAACUAGGCAAAAUGGUGCCGUAACUUCGGGAGAAGGCACGCUGACACGUAGGUGAAGUGAUUUACUCAUGGAGCUGAAGUCAGUCGAAGAUACCAGCUGGCUGCAACUGUUUAUUAAAAACACAGCACUGUGCAAACACGAAAGUGGACGUAUACGGUGUGACGCCUGCCCGGUGCCGGAAGGUUAAUUGAUGGGGUCAGCGCAAGCGAAGCUCCUGAUCGAAGCCCCGGUAAACGGCGGCCGUAACUAUAACGGUCCUAAGGUAGCGAAAUUCCUUGUCGGGUAAGUUCCGACCUGCACGAAUGGCGUAAUGAUGGCCAGGCUGUCUCCACCCGAGACUCAGUGAAAUUGAACUCGCUGUGAAGAUGCAGUGUACCCGCGGCAAGACGGAAAGACCCCGUGAACCUUUACUAUAGCUUGACACUGAACAUUGAGCCUUGAUGUGUAGGAUAGGUGGGAGGCUUUGAAGUGUGGACGCCAGUCUGCAUGGAGCCGACCUUGAAAUACCACCCUUUAAUGUUUGAUGUUCUAACGUGGACCCGUUACCCGGGUUGCGGACAGUGUCUGGUGGGUAGUUUGACUGGGGCGGUCUCCUCCUAAAGAGUAACGGAGGAGCACGAAGGUUGGCUAAUCCUGGUCGGACAUCAGGAGGUUAGUGCAAUGGCAUAAGCCAGCUUGACUGCGAGCGUGACGGCGCGAGCAGGUGCGAAAGCAGGUCAUAGUGAUCCGGUGGUUCUGAAUGGAAGGGCCAUCGCUCAACGGAUAAAAGGUACUCCGGGGAUAACAGGCUGAUACCGCCCAAGAGUUCAUAUCGACGGCGGUGUUUGGCACCUCGAUGUCGGCUCAUCACAUCCUGGGGCUGAAGUAGGUCCCAAGGGUAUGGCUGUUCGCCAUUUAAAGUGGUACGCGAGCUGGGUUUAGAACGUCGUGAGACAGUUCGGUCCCUAUCUGCCGUGGGCGCUGGAGAACUGAGGGGGGCUGCUCCUAGUACGAGAGGACCGGAGUGGACGCAUCACUGGUGUUCGGGUUGUCAUGCCAAUGGCACUGCCCGGUAGCUAAAUGCGGAAGAGAUAAGUGCUGAAAGCAUCUAAGCACGAAACUUGCCCCGAGAUGAGUUCUCCCUGAGAC